RNAcentral lists this unclassified non-coding RNA (145 nucleotides) under uncultured fungus. Its description in RNAcentral is "sequence contains ITS1, 5.8S rRNA gene". The record is from RNAcentral. Lineage: Eukaryota; Fungi.
CACGAAAUAUCCAAAUGUUUUGCACAAUAAACUAUCUAUGCUACCUGCUGCAUGUGAAGCUUGAAGCUUUGCGUGGCAUAGAGAUGUGUUUACUCACAUUUUCAAGCAGAUGUUACAUUUGAUUAACUUGUUAUGAAAAAAACCA